This 369-nucleotide long non-coding RNA is filed under the name Rattus norvegicus (Norway rat). RNAcentral's name for it is "long non-coding RNA NONRATT003889". The record is from RNAcentral. Lineage: Eukaryota; Metazoa; Chordata; Mammalia; Rodentia; Muridae.
AGGACAUCGGCUGCAGAGUUUGUGAUUCGGACGAAGAAGAACUCGAGGCAGAGGUUCAAGGCCAGCCAGGUCUACAGAAUUGAAGUCAUGGCUGGUCCAGAAAGUGAUGGCCAAUUCCAGUUCACUGGUAUUAAAAAAUAUUUCAACUCUUAUACCCUCACAGGUAGAAUGAAUUGUGUCCUGGCCACAUAUGGAGGCAUUGCUUUGUUGGUCCUAUACUUUAAGUUAAGGCCUAAAAAAACCCCAGCUGUGAAAGCAACAUAAAUGGAUUUUGAAAUGUCUGGCCUUAUCUGUUAAGUCCCACGCCUGAAGAAGCUGAUGUGAACUCAUCAUGUAAUACUCAAUUUGUACAAUAAAUUAUGAACCUGG